Molecule: ribosomal RNA, 1308 nt
Filed under: uncultured bacterium
Lineage: Bacteria
Description: bacterial SSU rRNA
Rfam family: Bacterial small subunit ribosomal RNA
Source: RNAcentral
AACGAACGCUGGCGGCAUGCCUCAUACAUGCAAGUCGAACGAGGUCUUCGGACCUAGUGGCGCACGGGUGAGUAACAUGUGGGAAUCUACCUGAAGGUUCGGAAUAACUGCGGGAAACUGUAGCUAAUACCGGAUGUGUCUGCAAAGAGAAAGAUUUAUCGCCUUCAGAUGAGCCCGCACUAGAUUAGCUAGUUGGUGAGGUAAUUGCUCCACCAAGGCUACGAUCUAUAGCUGAUUUGAGAGGAUGAUCAGCCACACUGGGACUGAGACACGGCCCAGACUCCUACGGGAGGCAGCAGUAGGGAAUAUUGGACAAUGGGGGAAACCCUGAUCCAGCAAUGCCGCGUGAGUGAAGAAGGCCUUCGGGUUGUAAAGCUCUUUCAUCAAUGAUGAUAAUGACAUUAGUUGAAGAAGAAGCCCCGGCUAACUUCGUGCCAGCAGCCGCGGUAAUACGAAGGGGGCUAGCGUUGUUCGGAAUCACUGGGCGUAAAGCGUAUGUAGGCGGAUCAAAAAGUUAGAUGUGAAAUCCCUGGGCUCAACCCAGGAACUGCAUUUAAAACUAGUGAUCUAGAAUUUGGUAGGGGUUAGUAGAAUUUCCAGUGUAGAGGUGAAAUUCGUAGAUAUUGGAAAGAAUACCAGUGGCGAAGGCGACUAACUGGGCCAUUUUUGACGCUGAGAUACGAAAGCGUGGGUAGCAAACAGGAUUAGAUACCCUGGUAGUCCACGCAGUAAACGAUGAGUGCUAGUCGCUGGGACAAUAGUUUCAGUGUCGAAGCUAACGCAUUAAGCACUCCGCCUGGGAAGUACGGUCGCAAGAUUAAAACUCAAAUAAAUUGACGGGGGCCCGCACAAGCGGUGGAGCAUGUGGUUUAAUUCGAAGCAACGCGAAGAACCUUACCAGACCUUGACAUGGUAUGUUUGAAUUACAGAAUCGUAAUUCUUCAGUUCGGCUGGCAUACACACAGGUGCUGCAUGGCUGUCGUCAGCUCGUGUCGUGAGAUGUUGGGUUAAGUCCCGCAACGAGCGCAACCCUCAUUUUUAGUUGCCAUCAGGUUAAGCUGGGCACUCUAGAAAAACUGCCGGUGAUAAGCUGGAGGAAGGCGGGGAUGACGUCAAGUCCUCAUGGCCCUUACGGUCUGGGCUACACACGUGCUACAAUGGUGGUGACAGUGGGCAGCGAUACUGCAAAGUAAAGCUAAUCCCAAAAAACCAUCUCAGUUCGGAUUGGACUCUGCAACUCGAGUCCAUGAAGUUGGAAUCGCUAGUAAUCGUAGAUCAGCGUGCUACGGUGAAUACGUUCUCGGGCCU